CGCGUAGGCGGUCAGCACAAGUCAGUUGUGAAAUCUCCGGGCUUAACUCGGAAAGGUCAACUGAUACUGUGCGACUAGAGUGCAGAAGGGGCAACUGGAAUUCUCGGUGUAGCGGUGAAAUGCGUAGAUAUCGAGAGGAACACCUGCGGCGAAGGCGGGUUGCUGGGCUGACACUGACGCUGAUGCGCAAAGCGAGGGAGCGAA
RNAcentral lists this ribosomal RNA (204 nucleotides) under uncultured bacterium. RNAcentral's name for it is "partial 16S ribosomal RNA". It matches the Rfam family "Bacterial small subunit ribosomal RNA", at positions 568 to 772 of the family's 1533-position model. The record is from RNAcentral.